CAAAAAGAAAAAAAAUUAAAAUUCUCUCUCCGUAACAGCGCUCACUCGUUUCUCUGCCGAUACUCACCCCUCUCUCCAUACCAACGCUCACUCCUCUCUUUCGGUCUUUCCUCAGAGGUUCCGAGAACUCCUCUCUCCAAUACCAGCGCUAACUCAUCUCUCUGCAGGUACUCACUCCUCUCUCUCGAUCUUUUCUCAGAGGUUCCGAGAACUCCGAUCUCGACCCACGGUCUCAUUCCCUUGCAAUUUUGACCCACACUUUGGUUGUGCCACGGAUAGCAAAGUUGAGGCAAUCCUUUGUCAACUUGCCAGUGAUUUUCUUCCCAUGAUAGAUGAGGUGUAUCAACAAUUAGUUGAAAAGACAAAAUCAACUCCUGGAGCUCUGGUUGAAAACAACAAGUUCUAUCUUUCUGUUCAUUUUCGUUGUGUUGAUGAAAAGGUUAAAUAAGUGACAUUAACUUCAAUGGAGUCAUCUAAUGAAAAGAUGACAGGCAAAAGAAAAGUUUUAGGAAAAAAUAACGAGGAAACAAAAAGUUAUUUUACAUGAAAUUUGGAGAUGGAACGUGUAUUGGUUGAUGUACUUAGAAAUCAAAGGAAUUUGGGCAACAAGGGUGACAGAGGUUGGAAAAGGUCAGCAUUGAAUGCUACAACCGUAGCGUUGUCUACAAGCUUCAAUGUUAAUGUCACCUAAGAUAAUGUCAAAAACCGUAUCAAAUUAUGGAGAUCGUGGAAUGGUAUUGUAAGUGACAUCCUUGUCUAGAAUGGGUUUAAUUGGUAUGGCACUAAGCACAUGAUCACAAUUGAGAAUGAAAAUGCUUGGGAUGAACAAUGCACUUCGCAUAAAUCGGCUAAACCGUUUCGAUUCAAGGUGCUUCAAAACUGGGAUGAUAUAGUGGAUUUGUGUGCUAAAGAUAGAGCCAUUGGUCAUGGAGCUGAAAUGGCUAUGGAUGCUGAUGAAGCGAUGAGUAGAGAAACAAAUAAAGUGGAAUGCAUCGGGUUAGGUGUUACUGCUACCAUAGACUUAGAAGAACCAAGCUCUAAUACAAAAGGAAAAAGACAAGGUUCAACUUGUUCAGGCACACAUUCUCACAAGAGAAGAUGGGAGAAAAAAGAAGGAAUAUCAGCUUCUUUGGAUAAGAUGACCAACUCUUUUAACCGAAUGGUAGAAAAAAUGGAUGGAUGAAGAUAUUCGAGAAGUGUUACGUGAGACGACUUUGAUACAUGGUCUUAAUAGACAACAAUGGGCUAAAGCUAUUAAAUGGUUAGCUGACGAUCCAAAGUCGUUAGCUACCGUGAAAGUCCUCCCAAUUCACAGAAAGACAUUAUGUUUUAACACAACUUGCAGAAUGAAACUUGAUUAUUCUGAGCAAGGAAUAGGGAGGAAUUGCAUUCUUACAAAGCAAGAAAAAAAAUUUAUUAUUCUAAAAUUGUUUGAUUAUGUUGUUUGUUUUGGAUCCUCUAAUUUGCAAAAUAAUUCGGGAAUUAUUAAAUAUUAUAAGUGAAGUGACAUUAAUGUUGAUGAUAUAUGAUUUUAGGUUUUUUAUGGAUUGAAGUAUUUUCUUCCCUUAAGAACAAUGAAAUUAAUAUCAUUUGAAUUUUGUAUGAGAUAAUUGUCCUUAAAUCACUUAUAAAAUUAUUUAAUUCUUCCAUGUCAGGUUAUUCUGAGCAAGGAAUAGGGAGGAAUUGCAUUCUUACAAAGCAAGAAAAAAAAUUUAUUAUUCUAAAAUUGUUUGAUUAUGUUUUUUGUUUUGAAUCCUCUAAUUUGCAAAAUAAUUCGUGAAUUAUUGAAUAUUAUAAGUGAAGUGACAUCAAU
Glycine soja is the source of this 1813-nucleotide long non-coding RNA. RefSeq lists it as uncharacterized. The record is from RefSeq and is a predicted model, not a curated record. Lineage: Eukaryota; Viridiplantae; Streptophyta; Magnoliopsida; Fabales; Fabaceae. The transcript is spliced from 6 exons.